GCAAGUCGAGCGCACCUUCGGGUGAGCGGCGGACGGGUUAGUAACGCGUGGGAACGUGCCCUUCACUACGGAAUAGUCUCGGGAAACUGGGUUUAAUACCGUAUACGCCCUUCGGGGGAAAGAAUUUCGGUGAAGGAUCGGCCCGCGUUAGAUUAGAUAGUUGGUGGGGUAAUGGCCUACCAAGUCUACGAUCUAUAGCUGGUUUUAGAGGAUGAUC
RNAcentral lists this ribosomal RNA (217 nucleotides) under uncultured bacterium. RNAcentral describes it as "partial 16S ribosomal RNA". It matches the Rfam family "Bacterial small subunit ribosomal RNA", at positions 57 to 305 of the family's 1533-position model. The record is from RNAcentral.